This 117-nucleotide ribosomal RNA is filed under the name Candidatus Tectimicrobiota bacterium. The record is from RNAcentral. Lineage: Bacteria; Pseudomonadati; Candidatus Tectimicrobiota.
CUAGGUGGCUCUCGCGGAGGGGUCACACCCGUUCCCAUUCCGAACACGGCAGUUAAGCCCUCCAGCACCGAUGGUACUGCCCCGGAGACGGGGUGGGAGAGUAGGACGCCGCCUGGU